Strigops habroptila (Kakapo) is the source of this 2883-nucleotide long non-coding RNA. Lineage: Eukaryota; Metazoa; Chordata; Aves; Psittaciformes; Psittacidae. The record is from Ensembl.
GCAACAUCCACAAUAUAAUUUUAUUGGGUUUGCAUGGCAAGGUUUUGGUAGUGGGGAGGCGUUACAAGAGAGGCUUCUGUGAAAAGCUACCAGAAGCUUCCCCAGUGUCUUGACAGAGCCAAAGCCGACUCUAAGAUGGCCCCACCACUGGCUGAAGCUGAGCCCAUCAGCGAUGGUGGUAGUGCCUCUGGGAUAACGUGUUUAAGAAGAGGGGGAAACUGCUGUUGCACAGCAGCCAGAACAGCUGAGUGAGAGUAUGUGAGACAACCAACUCUGCGGACAUCAAGAUCAGUGCGGAAGGAGGGGAGGAGGUGCUCCAGGCGCUAGAGCAGAGAUUCCCCUGCAGCCUGUGGGGAAGAUCAUGGUGAGGCAGGCUGUGCCCCUGCAGCCCACGGUGGUCCACGGCAGGCAGAUAUCCACCUGCCAGAGCAGGAGGAUGCCCAAAGGAGGCUGUGACCCCAUGGGAAGCCCGCGCUGGAACGAGCUCCUGUGAGGAGCUGUGGCCCCGUGGAGAGAGGAGCCCGUGCUGGAGCAAGUUUGCUGCAGGAUUUGUGCCCCAAUGGGGGACCCACGCUGGAGCAGUCUGUUCCUGGAGGACUGCACCUGUGGGAGGGACACAGGCUGGAGCAAUUUGUAAAGAACUGUCUCCUGUGGGAGGGACCCCCCGUCAGAACAGGGGAAUAGCACAACGAAGCAGCAGCAGCAGAGGCAACAUGUGUUGAACUGACCACAACCCCCAUUCCGUGAGCUCCUGUGUCGAUCAGUGGGAGGAUGUAGAGAACUCAGGAGUGAAGCCGAGCCCAGGAAGAAGAAAAGGGUGCAGGGAAGCUGUUUCAAAUUUGAUUUUCUCAUUACCCUGCUCUGGUUUGGCAAUAAAUUAAAUUUCCCUGAGUCAUCUCUUUUGCCCAUGAUGAUAAUUUCUGAGUGAUCUCCCUGUCCUUAUCUCGACUCAUGAGCCUUUCAUUUUAUUUUUAUUCUCCCUGUCCAGCUGAGGAGGGGAGGGAUAGAGCGUGCUGAGCACCUGGCAUCUAGCCAAGGUCAACCCACCACAUCUAUCACCUAUAGCCUUUCCCGUACAGAGGGUGAGAGAAAGUUCCUUGUGUAGUCUUGCUGGAUGGGAGAUAACUGUCUUGAAGUGCAGAUAAGCAGUUAUGUGUUUCUUAUCGAAGCCAGAUUAACAAAUAGUAAUUUUCUCAGUUCCUUUUAAGAAUUCUUGAUUCAACAGUAAUAAGUGAAGAACUGUAAAGCAAUUCAAAGUAGUUAUUGUUCAGUGCAUUAAAAAUGAAACAUGCUUUUGCUGUGCCUCAGGCCUCACGGUUACCCAGCUAGUUGCUAAUACUAUUUCAGAAUACGUAAAAUAUUCCUACUACUACCUGAUAUAAUAAUAUAGAGUCAUGGGAUAACUCCCACAUCACCUUUUUUUUUUUUUUAAAUUCUUCAUGCAGUACUUUUGAAUCAAAACCUGUAACAGUUAAUUGCACUAGCUCGUUCCUCAUACUACAAUCAGAACUUUCAACCUCCUCAGAAGAUUCCACUGUUAUGAGGACAAAGAGAAAAGUUCAUUCACCAUCUUCUUAUCUUUUUGUGCUUGCUGUUUCAAAUCAACUGGCUCCUGCUUCUGUUUCUCAAUCUGUGACAAAAGAAAUCAAGAAACAAUAACUGUGAGGGGAAAAAAUAUUCUUGCUGUGUUCUUCUCUUCAAAUUUGAGAAGACAGAAAUAGGGGAAAGAUCCCUCGUUUGCAGUGCGCAGGUCAAUUAAACCAUGUUUAAAACUUUGAUUUGCAUUAAGGAUAGGAAAUAACUAAAGCUUAAACUAUAAUCCCCCCUGCCAUGUAUUCGAUACAAACAGAUCUGUGACUCUACUGAAGAAUUAUAACUAUGUGGACAGAGGGUUUUCUUCCUUACUGUUUUGGAUAGUGGUGCAGUGUUAGAGAAACAGUUUAGAAAAGGAGAACAAAAACCAGAGAAAAACAGGCAGCUGGAAGAAGGUCUGAGUAAGAUCUUCUAUACUGGAGAGUCUGAAAGAAAACAGUGGGAUGUGAGCAAGGAAAUUGUCUCCUACCAUUUGACCUGGGGAUCAGAACUUUGUAUCUUCUUAUUAAAAGUUAAAAUAAUUCCAGUUUCCACUUUAAUUUUCUUUUUUUCUAACUGAAAAUGGGGUUUGCUUGGUACUUGACUUUAGAAAAGUAGAAAUGGGACUGAAGUGAAAUAAUCUGCGAUAGAAAAAACGGAAGCUACAAUGUAGGGCUUCUUUUUCUUGUGUUCCGAGUGGCGUUUGGCUCUAUUUUUUCUAAAACCUUCGCCAGGUAACUAAACCCAUCGCAUUCCCCCUUAGCUUUCUCUUUUUUCAAGCUGACAAACGCUUCGGCCUCUUGUACACCAUGUGCGGAAGCACCCGACCAUCUCGGGGCGCCUCCCCUGCGUUCGUUCCGGCACAUUGCUUUCUCGCCUGUACAGAGGGGGAGCCAGACCGGACGCCGUGUUCCCAUGCGAGGGAGCAGGCGGGCGCCCGGAGCGAGGCUUCCCCGUCGCAGCCCAGCUCGCCAACGCCUUCCCGCCGCCGGGGCGCGCUGCUGCUUCAAGCUCGUCCCCCUUCGGCCGCGGGCACCGGCAACAGGGCGGAGGAGCAGCAGGACCGGCCGCGAGGUGUUUUGCUACCGGUGGCUGCGCACCGGGAAGCUGUAGCUAGGGGAGAUAAGAGGGGCCUGCCCGGCUGCGCGCACACCUCCUCCGCCUUCUCCUGGCCCGGCUUCGUGAGGCAGGCCAUCGCGGCCGCUGCUUCCCUUCCCUAGUCCUGCCGCCGUCACAGCAGCUCCGCGUUGCUCCUGGCCAGCCGGCGGAGCUUCACCGUACUCGGCCCGGGACGCUUCGGUGGCCGCCGGC